AUACGGGGGGUGCAAGCGUUAAUCGGAAUUACUGGGCGUAAAGCGCGCGUAGGCGGUUUGCUCAGUCGGAUGUGAAAGCCCAGGGCUCAACCUUGGAACUGCAUACGAUACCGGCAAACUAGAGUGUGAGAGAGGAUAGUGGAAUUUCCGGUGUAGCGGUGAAAUGCGUAGAUAUCGGAAGGAACAUCAGUGGCGAAGGCGACUGUCUGGCUCAACACUGACGCUGAGGUGCGAAAGCGUGGGUAGCAAACAGGAUUAGAUACCCCAGUAGUCC
Molecule: ribosomal RNA, 274 nt
Filed under: uncultured bacterium
Lineage: Bacteria
Description: partial 16S ribosomal RNA
Rfam family: Bacterial small subunit ribosomal RNA
Source: RNAcentral